GAGCUCAAAUUUGUAAUCUGGCGGCCUCUGGUCGUCCGAGUUGUAGUCUGGAGAAGCGUUUUCCGCGUCGGACCGUGUACAAGUCCCUUGGAACAGGGCGUCGUAGAGGGUGAGAAUCCCGUCUUUGACACGGACUGCCGAUGCUUUGUGAUGCGCUCUCGAAGAGUCGAGUUGUUUGGGAAUGCAGCUCAAAACGGGUGGUAAAUUCCAUCUAAAGCUAAAUAUGGGCGAAAGACCGAUAGCGAACAAGUACCGUGAGGGAAAGAUGAAAAGCACUUUGGAAAGAGAGUUAAACAGUACGUGAAAUUGUUGAAAGGGAAACGCUUGAAGUCAGUCGCGUCUCCUGGGACUCAGCCUUGCUUCUGCUUGGUGUACUUCCUGGGACGACGGGCCAGCAUCGAUUUUGAUCGUCGGAGAAAGGCCUUGGGAACGUGGCACCUUUGGGUGUGUUAUAGCCCUUGGUCGUAUGCGACGGUUGGGAUCGAGGACCGCAGCACGCCUUUUUGGCCGGGGUUCGCCCACGUACGUGCUUAGGAUGCUGGCGUAAUGGCUUUAAGCGACCCGUCUUGAAACACGGACCAAGGAGUCUAACAUGCCUGCGAGUGUUUGGGUGGUAAACCCGGACGCGAAAUGAAAGUGAAAAGUUGGGACCUCUGUCGUGGAGGGCACCGACGCCCG
RNAcentral lists this ribosomal RNA (678 nucleotides) under Ramaria villosa. RNAcentral's name for it is "Gautieria villosa partial large subunit ribosomal RNA". It matches the Rfam family "Eukaryotic large subunit ribosomal RNA", at positions 104 to 767 of the family's 3401-position model. The record is from RNAcentral. Lineage: Eukaryota; Fungi; Basidiomycota; Agaricomycetes; Gomphales; Gomphaceae.